Molecule: ribosomal RNA, 253 nt
Filed under: uncultured bacterium
Lineage: Bacteria
Description: partial 16S ribosomal RNA
Rfam family: Bacterial small subunit ribosomal RNA
Source: RNAcentral
UACGGAGGAUCCAAGCGUUAUCCGGAUUUAUUGGGUUUAAAGGGUGCGUAGGCGGAUUAAUAAGUCAGUGGUGAAAGCCUGCAGCUUAACUGUAGAAUUGCCAUUGAUACUGUUAGUCUUGAGUAUAUUUGAGGUGAGCGGAAUGUGCAGUGUAGCGGUGAAAUGCUUAGAUAUUGCACAGAACACCGAUUGCGAAGGCAGCUCACUAAACUAUAACUGACGCUGAGGCACGAAAGUGUGGGGAUCAAACAGG